GGCUCUUUGGAGUUUAUAUAUAAAGAGUCGGACCUGCCCAGUGAAAAUUUUUAACGGCCGCGGUACUCUGACCGUGCAAAGGUAGCAUAAUCAUUUGCCUUAUAAUUGAAGGCUUGUAUGAAUGGUUUGACAAGAAUAUAACUGUCUCUAUGUGAUUUUGUAGAAUUUUAUUUUGAAGUGAAGAAGCUUGAAUAGUAUUAAUAGACAAGAAGACCCUAUCGAGCUUGAAAUAAAUUUAUGAGGGUAUUUAAUAUCUGUUAAAAAUUUGUUUGUAGUAUAUUUUGGUUGGGGCGACUUUGGAACAUGUGAAGCUUCCAAGAGUAGAUAUUUUAAAAACAAAUUGAUCCAAAAAAUUUUGAUUAAUGAAAUUAGUUACCGUAGGGAUAACAGCAUAAUCUCUUUUAAGAGUUCUAAUCGAAAAGGAGGUUUGUGACCUCGAUGUUGGACCAGAAUGUCCUAAAGAUGCAGCAGUCUUUGAGGGUUGGUCUGUUCGACCAUUAAAAUUCUACG
Molecule: ribosomal RNA, 510 nt
Filed under: Graphicomassa ligula
Lineage: Eukaryota; Metazoa; Mollusca; Gastropoda; Neogastropoda; Columbellidae
Description: partial large subunit ribosomal RNA
Rfam family: Bacterial large subunit ribosomal RNA
Source: RNAcentral